RNAcentral lists this ribosomal RNA (518 nucleotides) under uncultured Streptomycetaceae bacterium. RNAcentral's name for it is "bacterial SSU rRNA". It matches the Rfam family "Bacterial small subunit ribosomal RNA", at positions 244 to 779 of the family's 1533-position model. The record is from RNAcentral. Lineage: Bacteria; Bacillati; Actinomycetota; Actinomycetes; Kitasatosporales; Streptomycetaceae.
GCUAGUUGGUGAGGUAAAGGCUCACCAAGGCGACGAUCAGUAGCUGGUCUGAGAGGACGAUCAGCCACACUGGGACUGAGACACGGCCCAGACUCCUACGGGAGGCAGCAGUAGGGAAUCUUGCGCAAUGGGGGAAACCCUGACGCAGCGACGCCGCGUGCGGGAUGACGGCCCUAGGGUUGUAAACCGCUUUCAGCAGGGACGAAACUGACGGUACCUGCAGAAGAAGGCCCGGCCAACUACGUGCCAGCAGCCGCGGUAAUACGUAGGGGCCAAGCGUUGUCCGGAAUCAUUGGGCGUAAAGAGCUCGUAGGUGGUCGAUCACGUCGGAUGUGAAAUUCUGAGGCUUAACCUCGGGCCUGCAUUCGAUACGGGUUGACUAGAGUGUGGUAGGGGAGACUGGAAUUCCUGGUGUAGCGGUGGAAUGCGCAGAUAUCAGGAGGAACACCGAUGGCGAAGGCAGGUCUCUGGGCCAUUACUGACACUGAGGAGCGAAAGCGUGGGGAGCGAACAGGAUU